Molecule: non-coding RNA, 7392 nt
Organism: Oryctolagus cuniculus (rabbit)
Lineage: Eukaryota; Metazoa; Chordata; Mammalia; Lagomorpha; Leporidae
Source: RefSeq, a predicted model, not a curated record
ACCAAAUUGGGCCAGGUCAAAAUCAAGAGCUUGGAAUAGAAUUCAGUUCUCCUUCAGGAUGCAUCUAAAAUAUUUGUUCUUUGUUAAUAAAGCACUUUUGUUGUCUUGUCUUGCUUUAGUGCUUUUGAUCAUGGGUAAUAACAUACAGUCAUCUCUGAUUGGUGUGCAUCAUUCCUGCAUAGUUUCUCUAGGAAAAAAAUUGUGCGGAAAUGGAUGCGACUUCUCUCUUGGGCGUUUGGAGUUGCUAGAGAGUGGAGAGGCCAUGUGGCCUCGAGGAGCUCACGGGCAGGACUGCCCCAUCUCUGGGAGCCUUUGUUUGUACCUCUGCAUUGUGAUCUCACAUGCACUCAACUUCCAGGCUUCUUCCGAAGAUAACAAGGUCCUCUGGCUUUUCCUGACUUGUGUAGGCAUGCACAAUCCAUUGUUUGGCAUGCAGUUAUUAUUGACUUGGGAACCUAAUGGGAAAGUUGUAACUGACCCAGGUGGCGUCUCAAACAGAAUGAUGUGUACCACUGCAGCAUCGAACUCGAAGAAGACGUCAGAAGACAAAACACCAUCCAUGUUGACCAAAGCUUAAAAUCCAAGGCCUGGGGCCUCCUUCCAAAGGACUCUCAGCAACCCGGGACAAUAGCUGCGAUAACCAACCUGGAGUAAGAACAGCUCCUGGCCUCGAGCAGGGCCUCGUCCAUUAACACAGCUAGCUCAUCACUCGGAUAGUUACAUUUUAAGUCCAUCUCACAGAACUUAAUGUCUCCAUUGCUGGACAUAGCACAUUUUCCCUGUGUUAGCUGUGGAACUUUAGCAAGUUACCUAGCCCAUAUAUACCUUGGUAUUCUUAUCUGAAAAACAGGUAAAAUAUUAGCAUCUACUUGAUAUGACGGAGAGUAAAGUAUAAUACUCACUAAGGGCUAGUUUUAAUAGUUUAAUUAAUUCAUUACCUAAUAAUUAAUUGAUUUGAAACAUAGAGAACACAAGAAUACACACACACACACACACACAUACAUCCACACACACACACACACACACAGAAUGAACUCUCAUCUGCUGGUUCACUCCUCAAAUGCCUGCAAUUGCUGGGGCUGGACCAGGGCUAAAAUCAGGAGCCAAGAAUGAAAUCCAAGUCUCCCAUGUGGGUGGCAGGGACCGAAGUACUUGAGUCAUACCUGCUUCUUCCCAGGUUGGGCAUUCACAGGAAGCUGGAAUAGGAAGCAUAGUCGGAGUUUGAACCGAGACACUCUGAUAUGGGAUACAGGUGUCUCAAGUGGCACCUUAACCACUAGAUCAAAUGCCAGUCCUUUAAUAUGAUCUGUGUUAUUAUUCUAAGAAGAAAUAUUGCCCUGUGAUAACUCAUACCAGGUUGUAAGUAUAUUCAAUAAACUCACAUGAAUACAUUUAAUUACAGCCUUCUCCGUCUGGUUUGUUCUGCCAGUCUUUAGAUCCUGUAAUGGAUAAUACUGCAGUUCAAACAUGCAUUUAUGUUUAAAAAAAGAACUCACACUGAUAGUACAGCCUAAAAUAGCUUACAUAUUAUUGUUGUAUUUUGCUUGAUUUAAUAAUCAGAUUUCCACACUAUACUUAAAAGUCCUAUGAGCUGUCACUCUGAAAUGUUGUUGCUGAGUCAGAUGCAAUUCGGAGAUUUGCCCAUGAACUAAUCUGAAAUGUACCUGAGUUAAAGAUAAGGCAUUCUAGUUGGAACUAAUACUAAAUUCACACAUAUAGUUGAAUUAAUGUGAAAUUUAAUUGGAGAGUUUAAAGAUAAGAUAAAAAUGAACAUGAAAACUUUGAAAUUAUUUUUGUUUCCUUUUCACCUUCUGCAGCUGUGUAAGAUCUAGAUUAAUUUCUUGAUACAUAAACAAUCAUAAAUCUUUGAGGUAAUGGAAAUUGCAAAAUAAAAGUGAGAAGCAAGAGGUGAGGCGUGUGGUCAAAGAUAGCAGCCUGCGCCCAGGCUUUUCAAUUUUUUUUAAAGAUUUAUUUUAUUUAUUUGAAAAGCAGAGUUACAGAAGACAGAGAGGUCUUCUAUCUGCUAGUUCACUCCCCAGAUGGUUGCAAUGGCUGGAGCUGCACCAAUCCGAAGCCAGGAGCCAAGAACUUCUUCCAGGUCUCCCACAUGGGUGCAGGUGCCCAAGGACUUGGGGCCAUCUUCUACCUCUUUCCCAGGCCAUAGCAGAGCUGGAUUGGAAAUGGAGCAGCCGGGACUCGAACUGGUGCCCAUAUGAGAUGCUGGCACUACAGGUGGCAGCUUUACCCACUAUGCCACAGAGCCGGCCCCCGGGCUUGGGCUAUUACUCAAGCUCUCCGAAGAGGCUAAGUGGACAGCUGAAGAGGGCACUAGCUCCUUAGCUUAUCUAUGCCCUCUUUAUCUGAAAAGAAGAUAAAAUAAUAGCAUCUACCUGAUAGACAGUACAGGAUAAUACUUCAUAAGGGCUAGUUUCAGUAUUUUUAAUUCAUUUGCUCAUUCAUUUGAAAACUGGAGAGAUGGGGAGAGAAACAGACACCAAGACAGAGCUUCCAUCUGCUGGUUCUCUCCACAAAUGUCCAUAGCUUCUGGGGCUGGGAGCAGCUGUCAAGGUUGAGAGCAGGAAAUACAAUCUGGGUCGCCCAUGUGGAUGACAGGAAUCCAAGUAAUUGAGCCAUCACCUGCUGCCUCCACAGGGUGUUCAUCAGCAGGAAGCUGGAAUGGGGAGCAGGGUUGGGAUUGGCCCCUCAAAGUUUGAUUUGGGAUGCAGAUGUGCAGGGCAAGGCAUGGGGCAUGAGGUGGAUAAGUUCACCAGUGAGCAACAGGUCUCAGUACAUUCCCAUGACAGAAAGAGGACAGAGAUAACAGGAAGGCAGAACAGCCUCACCAUAGCCUCCCAGGGGCCAGAGAAUGACCUUCUUGGAAGGACCUGCAUCUCCAAAGCCCCGGCUGCAGGGAUUGGAGGCCCAGAAGUCAAGAUUCCUGCGCUUGCUGCCACUGCCUGGCUCUUGAAAGGGAAAACACUGCUUUUGAGACCCCUGCCAUUGUGUUUGCAUUUAUGUAAAUGUAUGUAUAUGUGCAUGUGGGCAUACAGACAGGAAAUUCCCCAAUGUUUUCACUUUAUGAUGGUGCAAAAAGGAAAUGCCUUUGGUAGAAACCAUACUUGGAAUUUGAGUUUGGCUCCCUUCUGGGGCUGGCACUGUGUGGUCCAAUCCUCUCUUGCAAUGCUGGGCAGCAGCAGGGAGCAUAGAGUCCAAUGAGCCCUGUGGUCACAAGGGGACUUGCUCUUCAAGGCAUUCUAUUGUAGAGCUAGGAUGUGCUCAACACACCCUAGAUGGAGUUAGAUAGAGUCAGUGUUCUUUCUUUCUUUUUUUUUUUAAGAUGUGUUUAUUUAUUUGCCAGUGGAGCUAUAUAUCAAGAGAGAAAGAUAGAGAGACACCUUCCAUCCAUUGGUUCACUUCCCAAAUGAUCAUAACAGCCAGGACUGGGCCAGACUGAAGCCAAUAACAGGAGCUCUAAACAGGUCUCUCAUUUGAGUGGCAGGAGCCCAAGUAUUCGGGCUAUCUUCUGCUACUUUUCCAGGACCAUUAACAGGGAGCUGGAUCAGAAGAGGAGUCAGGGCUCUAACUGAUGGUCUGAUAUGGAAUACUAGAGUUACAGGUGGAGGCUUAAACGGCUGGCCCCCACUAUGUCUAGCUUUGGUGGGAGAAAACUUUCAGAAACUACUGAGAGAGAAAAAUACAUAGGGUGGUGUUUCACAUUAGGACAUGAAUCAAGUAUCUGGGCUGAAUAGGUAUUUUUUAAAAAUAUGUACAUUUAAAAUCUGCAUUGUAUUUUGUCUGCAUUCUUUCCUUGGAAGUCAGUUGAGGGCAAAAUUAAGCAAAAUAAAAAAGUAAAACAAAGGAACAGGAAGAUAGGAUAUCCAGGAAAGAGCAAAUGCAGCCCAAGAGCACAGUGGAGUGACCUGUGGAAGGAACUGAGCUUCAGGCUUUCAAAGCAUCUUGUAGGACUGGAGUUGGGAGAUGGUGGCUUUGCAGGGGGAAUUUCCUGGGUAAAAUAGGAUGGAUUGAGCUUAGAAAAACAUGCAGCUGUCAUGAAAGCAAGUGAUCCAAGUGAAAAGAUAGAACUGUGCAUAAAGAAAGCCUGUAUGAGAAAGCUGUUGCUGGAAUAUGGAGUGAAUCAAAGUGUGGAAUGUUCAAGAAAGUAACAGUGUCUUAGAAGACGGAAUUCAUUUGAUCUUGAACAGAAACAGUAUAAUGUGAGUGGCCCAGAUGUUGAGAUCCUAGAUUCAGAGAAAGAAAAAAAUAAUGUCUGGUCUCUGAGCAGUAUGUACACACUCAUGUGGCUCUCAAUGCUGUUUAUUGGUUUCUCAGUCUUUUGGGUCAGCCUGUGGAAAAAAAAAGUAAAGCAUAAAUUGCAAUUCAGACCUGAUAUUGAAGGAAAAUGUAGAGCAGACACAGGAGGAGGCAGAGCAGUGACAUUCACAUGCAUUCUCAUCCUAAAGUGUGGGAGGGAAGUCAAGAAAUACAGCCUAGAGUUGACAAGGAAAGGAAAUAGACAUGUAAAGACAGAGGAUCAGUAGAACCAACAUACUCAUAUACAUGUCAAAUUUGAGAAUAAGGAUGUGGGAGCUUAAAUGAGCCUAAUUCUCAUGUCUUACAAAAAAGUCAAUAAAUAUUAUCUAACACUGUAAAUCAACAUGUAGAGGAAUGCAUAUAUUAUCUGGAUUUGUGGAGGCAGCCACCAUGAGAAAUAAGACAAAAUAACAACAACAGGAAGCAUUUAAAAUAGUUGACCUUAAGGAUGUGGCUGGGUUGAGGAGAGAAGGGUCAACAGGAGUCUGUUAUGUUUCUUUAUAAAGUUUUUUAUAUACUAUUUAAUUUGUUGUAUUAGUGCUUAUGGUUUAGAUAGGGUUUGAGUGCGUCCCCAGGUUUGAUAUGGUGGAAGCUUGUCCCUAGUUUGACAAUGCUGAGAGGUGAUGUGGCCCUUUAAGAGGUGGAGCCUUGGUUUAGUGGCCAUGCCACCCUCAGAAGGGACUGUGGGACUCCAACCUCGGGUAUCCUGCUUUCUGUUUGGAGACGUGAUCACUUUAUCCCACAUGGACUCCUAUGGUCUGGAUACUACCUGCUGUUAGGUCCUCACCAGAGCCAAGCCGUGCUGCUGUACCAGGUCCCUGAUGCUCUUGACCUUGAAGCUAAAUAAGCCUCUUUCCUUCAUAAAGUUCCCCAGCCUCAGGUGUUUCAUUAUGUUGUGAAACAAUGGACUAAUACCAAGGCCAGGUAUUACUUUUAUGGUAAUUAAAAGAUGUCAUUUAACAUUUGUCAGGGAAGGUCACACAAGUGGCUGUUAUGUAUAGUAUAAAAAGUUGCCCACUGUCACUGAUUACCAGGAAAAUGUAAAUCAAAACCACAGUGAGAUAUCUCCUCACACCUGUAAGAAUGUCUAUUCGCAGAAAAACGAAAGUCAACAAGUGUCGGUGAGGACCUGCAGGAAGGUCAACCCUUUAACAGCAUUAGUGGGAAUGUAAAAUGGCGCAACCAUUAUUAGGAACACAAAGAUUAAAAACAGAACUCCCCUAUGAGCCAGCAAUCCCACUUCUGGGUACAUGUCUUCAAAGGAAAUGAAAUCCGAAUGUGGAAGAGACAUCUGCAUUCCCAUGUUGGUUGCUGUACUACUUAUAAUAACAAUCAUGAUAUGGAAACAACCUAAGUGUCUGUUGAUGGAUGAAUGGAUAAGGAAAAUGUUAUAUAUAUGUGGUGCAAUAUGAUUUAGCCAUGAAAGAAGAAAAUCCUGCCUUUGUGACAGCAUGCAUGAAUCUCAAAGGUAUCCUGCUUAGUGAAAUGGGCCACGAGUACUGCAUGAUGGUACUUAGGUGUGGAAUCUGGAAGUCAAACACACAGGGGCAAUGAAGGGAGUGGUGGUUGCCAGGGGCUGGGGGAGGAGGACUUGGUACUUGUACAAAGACUCUGCUAAUAUGAUAAACAAGUUCUGGAGGACUGAUGUACAACACACUGACUACAUUUAAUAAUGGGCCAUUGUAUACAUACUUGACAUUUGUUAAGAGAGUAGAUUUAUUGUUUAAAGAUUUAUUUUAUUCAUUUGAAAGACAGAGUUAUAGAGAGGUAGAGACAGAAAGGUCUUCCAUCUGCUGGUUCACUCCUCAGAUGGCUGCAGUGGUUGGAGCUGCGCUGAUCCCAAGCCAGGAGCCAGGAGCUUCAUCCGGGUCUCCCACAAGGGGGCAAGGGCCUAAGAACUUGGGCCAUCUUCUACUGCUAUCCCAGGCCAUAGCAGAGAGCUGGAUCAGAAGAGGAGCAGCCAGGUUUCAGGCCAGGGCUUUAACUCGAUGCGCCACAGCGCUGGCCCCAGGAGAGUAGACAGAUCUUAAGUGUUCUCAGCACAUACACACAGGUGCUAACUGUGUAGCAUGAUGGAUAUGUUAAUUAGUUCCAGUGUGGUAAUUUCACAUGUAUGUAUUUCCAAAUAUGCUCUGAACUUAAAUAUAUAAAAUUUUUAUUUGUCAAUUAUACUUCAAUAAAAAUGGAGAAGAAAAAGGUCAUGGAUCAGACUCAUGGGUUCAGAUGCUAUCUCCACCAUCUACCAGCUGGGUGUCUUCAGGCAGGUGAUAUAACCUCUCUGUCUCUCCACUUUACCAUCUAAAAAAAGGGCUAGUAAUUACCAAUUCACAUACUUUUUGGUAUCUCACAUAGGCAAGGCCCUGAUGCUGCUCAGGGCUUAACACAGAGUGUUGCUCUUUUAAAUUAGAUUUUCAAAAGGAUUUUUAUUUGCUUUUUAUUUUAUUUGCAAGGCAGAGAGACUGAGAGAGACCUUCCACUUUCUGGUUCAACCCCAAAAUGCCCACAACAUCCAGGGCUGGGAUGUAUCCAAGAGCUUGGAACUCUAUCUGGGGCUCCCACAUGGGAGGCAGGGAGCCAAAUACAGGAGCCGUCACUUGCUACCUCCCAGGGUGCGCAUUAGCAGGAAGCUGGAUCAGAAGUGGAGUAGCUAAGACUUGAACCGGGUCGACAUAGGGGAUGCAGGUGUCCCAGGCAGAAAUAUAACUGCUGUACCAAAUACUCAGUUGUCAAUUAGCUGUUGAAUUAUUAUUUUCCAAGUCCCCACUUUCUCAGUAGGCUUGGUCUACUAGAGACUGGACUUCCAGGGACUAUUUUUGCACUCACUGUCACCUUAGCACAGCCAUCUUCUCUGAUCCCUGGCAGCAAGGGAGGGAGGGAGAGAUUGAAAUUGAUGAUGGGCAUGACUAUGUGGGAGGAUCUUAUAGGGAGACUGUGCAUGCAUGUGGGAAUGAAUGUGAAUGUACAAAGAGGUGGUCCGUGGUCACGGAGGACUCUAUGUGCACAGGUGAACGUGUAGCUGGUGUGGGAGAGUCUAACGGUUGUGCACGUGUAAGGGUGGAGGUGGGUCUGUACAGCCUCUGA